GGCCAAGCAAGGUUCGAAGCGGCAGAGCCACCAGGGCCUUGGGGCGUAGAGGGGUCUGGGUUCCGGGUCCCAGGUACGUUCGUCCACAGCAUCACCCCUCCUCUGCUCACAGCUUCAGCAAAGCCUGCUCCGGAGCGCCGGUCUCCUGUGCGUGAGGAAGGGCCCAAGUGCUAGCCUGGUGAUGGGCCUGGCCGAGGAGGACGUGCGAUCUGGGGUCAUUAAGAGCUCCUCAUUGAUCCUGGAAAUGCAGUGUGUUUUUAAGUGGAUUGGUUUUACCAGUGAGCAUUAGAAGUGUUUGAGGAUGCUGCACAUGCCUGAUGAACGACCGUGCCCACGCCGUGAAGGAGCAGGGCAGAAACUUCCGCUCAACAGGAUCUGGUGCUCAGACGCAGGCAGGACGGCCGUGCGUACCUGAAGCAGCCUCUUGGUGGGAAUCCCACCGGCACCUUAGUGUGGGUGUCACUCACUUGGUGUGUGUGUCACUCACUUUGAGGCCUCUAGGAUUCUCCAGAAAGAAACCUCUGAGGAUGGGAGACUGGUUGGAGCAGCCGCCAAGUGCCAAGGAGAGCUGCCAGGUGCAGAGGGAAAAGGAAGUUGUCAGUCAAGGUCCCAGCAGAAAUUCACCCUAAAUGGUUAAAAUAAAGAGA
Molecule: long non-coding RNA, 647 nt
Filed under: Homo sapiens (human)
Lineage: Eukaryota; Metazoa; Chordata; Mammalia; Primates; Hominidae
Description: HSALNT0226031
Source: RNAcentral